Regulatory RNA element from Thermoplasmatales archaeon BRNA1, 100 nucleotides. It matches the Rfam family "Pyrrolysine insertion sequence mtbB". The record is from Rfam. Lineage: Archaea; Methanobacteriati; Thermoplasmatota; Thermoplasmata; Thermoplasmatales.
UAGAUCGGAGUGGGUGACCCCUGCGGAAUGGACGUCACUCACUACAUGGCAUCCGGAAUGGGAGGAAUCCGCGGAGCCGGAGACAUGGUCGCCCGUAUGA